UACAGAGGUCCCGAGCGUUGUUCGGAUUCACUGGGCGUAAAGGGUGCGUAGGUGGCAUGGUAAGUUUGAUGUGAAAGCUCAGGGCUUAACCCUGAAAUGGCAUUGAAUACUACUGUGCUGGAGGUUUGGAGGGGGGACUGGAAUUCUUGGUGUAGCAGUGAAAUGCGUAGAUAUCAGGAGGAACACCGGUGGCGAAGGCGGGUCUCUGGGCAGUAACUGACGCUGAGGAGCGAAAGCGUGGGGAGCGAACAGG
This 253-nucleotide ribosomal RNA is filed under the name uncultured bacterium. RNAcentral's name for it is "partial 16S ribosomal RNA". It matches the Rfam family "Bacterial small subunit ribosomal RNA", at positions 524 to 776 of the family's 1533-position model. The record is from RNAcentral.